UGGGGGAUAUUGCGCAAUGGGGGCAACCCUGACGCAGCAACGCCGCGUGAAGGAUGAAGGUUUUCGGAUUGUAAACUUCUUUUAUUAAGGACGAAAUUUGACGGUACUUAAUGAAUAAGCUCCGGCUAACUACGUGCCAGGCAGCCGCGGUAAUACGUAGGGAGCAAGCGUUGUCCGGAUUUACUGGGUGUAAAGGGUGCGUAGGCGGCUUUGCAAGUCAGAUGUGAAAUCUAUGGGCUCAACCCAUAAACUGCAUUUGAAACUGUAGAGCUUGAGUGAAGUAGAGGCAGGCGGAAUUCCCCGUGUAGCGGUGAAAUGCGUAGAGAUGGGGAGGAACACCAGUGGCGAAGGCGGCCUGCUGGGCUUUAACUGACGCUGAGGCACGAAAGCGUGGGUAGCAAACAGGAUUAGAUACCCUGGUAGUCCACGCUGUAAACGAUGAUUACUAGGUGUGGGGGGUCUGACCCCUUCCGUGCCGGAGUUAACACAAUAAGUAAUCCACCUGGGGAGUACGGCCGCAAGGUUGAAACUCAAAGGAAUUGACGGGGGCCCGCACAAGCAGUGGAGUAUGUGGUUUAAUUCGAAGCAACGCGAAGAACCUUACCAGGUCUUGACAUCCAACUAACGAAGUAGAGAUACAUUAGGUGCCCUUCGGGGAAAGUUGAGACAGGUGGUGCAUGGUUGUCGUCAGCUCGUGUCGUGAGAUGUUGGGUUAAGUCCCGCAACGAGCGCAACCCUUGCUAUUAGUUGCUACGCAAGAGCACUCUAAUAGGACUGCCGUUGACAAAACGGAGGAAGGUGGGGACGACGUCAAAUCAUCAUGCCCCUUAUGACCUGGGCUACACACGUACUACAAUGGAUGUUAACAGAGGGAAGCAAGACAGUGAUGUGGAGCAAACCCCUAAAAACAUUCUCAGUUCAGAUUGCAGGCUGCAACCCGCCUGCAUGAAGAUGGAAUUGCUAGUAAUCGCGGAUCAGAAUGCCGCGGUGAAUACGUUCCC
This 1001-nucleotide ribosomal RNA is filed under the name uncultured bacterium. RNAcentral describes it as "bacterial SSU rRNA". It matches the Rfam family "Bacterial small subunit ribosomal RNA", at positions 355 to 1375 of the family's 1533-position model. The record is from RNAcentral.